UAAUACGGAGGGUGCAAGCGUUGUCCGGAUUUAUUGGGUUUAAAGGGUGCGUAGGCGGCCAUGUAAGUCAGGGGUGAAAGACUGCAGCUUAACUGUAGCAGUGCCUUUGAUACUGUGUGGCUUGAGUGUAGCUGAGGCAGAUGGAAUGGGUGGUGUAGCGGUGAAAUGCAUAGAUACCAUCCAGAACACCGAUUGCGAAGGCAGUCUGCUAAACUACAACUGACGCUGAGGCACGAAAGCGUGGGGAUCGAACAG
RNAcentral lists this ribosomal RNA (255 nucleotides) under uncultured prokaryote. RNAcentral describes it as "partial 16S ribosomal RNA". It matches the Rfam family "Bacterial small subunit ribosomal RNA", at positions 521 to 775 of the family's 1533-position model. The record is from RNAcentral.